GGCCUAAUGGCCCAAUGGCAAGGCGCUUGACUACGAUUUUCCCGAAAUCAAGAGAUUCCAGGUUCGACCCCUGGUUAGGUCA
This is a non-coding RNA of Setomelanomma holmii, 82 nucleotides long. The record is from the annotation of a GenBank genome assembly. NCBI's taxonomy places the organism in Eukaryota, Fungi, Ascomycota, Dothideomycetes, Pleosporales, Phaeosphaeriaceae.